GGUUCAGGUAGCUCAGCUGGUUAGAGCAAAGGACUGAAAAUCCUUUUGUCGGUGGUUCGAAUACACCUCUAAACGGGCCUA
RNAcentral lists this transfer RNA (81 nucleotides) under Helianthus annuus (common sunflower). Its description in RNAcentral is "tRNA-Phe". It matches the Rfam family "tRNA". From Rfam's summary of the family: Transfer RNA (tRNA) molecules are approximately 80 nucleotides in length. Their secondary structure includes four short double-helical elements and three loops (D, anti-codon, and T loops). The record is from RNAcentral. Lineage: Eukaryota; Viridiplantae; Streptophyta; Magnoliopsida; Asterales; Asteraceae.